This is a non-coding RNA of Pelobates cultripes (western spadefoot toad), 389 nucleotides long. The record is from the annotation of a GenBank genome assembly. Lineage: Eukaryota; Metazoa; Chordata; Amphibia; Anura; Pelobatidae.
CCCUUACAUCAGCAAGUUGUGGUACUCGUUUCCAAGAUACCACAAUAUAAACUUUAAAAUACACAGAGGCUUGGCAGCCGUUACCGUCAGGGACACUCCCACCAGAUCUCAGAGCUGAUUAAAUGAAUAUUCAAACGUAGAGGAGGCUGUGACUGGCAAGCGAUGCUGACAGUUGGACGUGCAUCCACCUCUGGCAGCAGGAAGCUGUUCACACUUCAACGCAUUUCGCCCACAAUACCAGGCUUUCUCAAUAUAGUGUAACAGUUCCUUGGGGCAUGCUUAUAUAUGCUCCUGUCUAGUUAAUUAGUAAAACGUCUAUUUGUUUAAUUAUUCAAUAAAGGGUGUUGUCUAUAUCUGAACAUUCUUGGUCCACAGACAAAACACAAUUA